This 540-nucleotide ribosomal RNA is filed under the name uncultured fungus. RNAcentral's name for it is "eukaryotic LSU rRNA". The stretch from base 206 to 359 matches the Rfam family "5.8S ribosomal RNA". The record is from RNAcentral. Lineage: Eukaryota; Fungi.
GAGGAAGUAAAAGACGUAACAAGGUCUCCGUUGGUGAACCAGCGGAGGGAUCAUUACCGAGUUUACAACUCCCAAACCCCUGUGAACAUACCACUUGUUGCCUCGGCGGAUCAGCCCGCUCCCGGUAAAACGGGACGGCCCGCCAGAGGACCCCUAAAACUCUGUUUCUAUAUGUAACUUCUGAGUAAAACCAUAAAUAAAUCAAAACUUUCAACAACGGAUCUCUUGGUUCUGGCAUCGAUGAAGAACGCAGCAAAAUGCGAUAAGUAAUGUGAAUUGCAGAAUUCAGUGAAUCAUUGAAUCUUUGAACGCACAUUGCGCCCGCCAGUAUUCUGGCGGGCAUGCCUGUUCGAGCGUCAUUUCAACUCUCAAGCACAGCUUGGUGUUGGGACUCGCGUUAAUUCGCGUUCCUCAAAUUGAUUGGCGGUCACGUCGAGCUUCCAUAGCGUAGUAGUAAAACCCUCGUUACUGGUAAUCGUCGCGGCCACGCCGUUAAACCCCAACUUNUGAAUGUUGACCCCGGAUCAGGUAGGAAUACCC